UUCUCAUCACCAAGUUCUCUCUCUGUCUCACUGGGGUUCUAAUUUUGCAAAGGAGGAUGCGAAGAACUCGCCUUUUGUACAGAGGCACAAGAACUCUGGUGCAGGAAGUGGUGGUCAAGUUGCCAAAGAUGCUCUAGGAAACGAUGCAAUUGCAGCAGAAUGGCUUCAGACUCAUGGGCCUGGUGACAAGACUCUCUCACAUAUACCUAAAUGAGGAUAAAUCACGGUUUGCUCUAU
Molecule: long non-coding RNA, 237 nt
Organism: Rosa chinensis
Lineage: Eukaryota; Viridiplantae; Streptophyta; Magnoliopsida; Rosales; Rosaceae
Exons: 3
Source: RefSeq, a predicted model, not a curated record